This 153-nucleotide ribosomal RNA is filed under the name Triodontophorus serratus. RNAcentral's name for it is "5.8S ribosomal RNA". It matches the Rfam family "5.8S ribosomal RNA". From Rfam's summary of the family: 5.8S ribosomal RNA (5.8S rRNA) is a component of the large subunit of the eukaryotic ribosome. The record is from RNAcentral. Lineage: Eukaryota; Metazoa; Nematoda; Chromadorea; Rhabditida; Strongylidae.
CUAGCUUCAGCGAUGGAUCGGUCGAUUCGCGUAUCGAUGAAAAACGCAGCAAGCUGCGUUAUUUACCACGAAUUGCAGACACUUAGAGUGGUAAGAUUUUGAACGCAUAGCGCCGUUGGGUUUUCCCUUCGGCACGUCUGGCUCAGGGUUGUU